Molecule: ribosomal RNA, 253 nt
Filed under: uncultured bacterium
Lineage: Bacteria
Description: partial 16S ribosomal RNA
Rfam family: Bacterial small subunit ribosomal RNA
Source: RNAcentral
UACAGAGGUCUCAAGCGUUGUUCGGAUUCAUUGGGCGUAAAGGGUGUGUAGGUGGCGCCGUAAGUCGGGUGUGAAAUUUCGGAGCUUAACUCCGAAACUGCAUUCGAUACUGCGGUGCUUGAGGACUGGAGAGGAGACUGGGAUUCAUGGUGUAGCAGUGAAAUGCGUAGAGAUCAUGAGGAAGACCAGUGGCGAAGGCGGGUCUCUGGACAGUUCCUGACACUGAGACACGAAGGCCAGGGGAGCAAACGGG